This 90-nucleotide transfer RNA is filed under the name Alphaproteobacteria bacterium. RNAcentral describes it as "tRNA-Leu". It matches the Rfam family "tRNA". From Rfam's summary of the family: Transfer RNA (tRNA) molecules are approximately 80 nucleotides in length. Their secondary structure includes four short double-helical elements and three loops (D, anti-codon, and T loops). RNAcentral also lists the same sequence under 2 other names. The record is from RNAcentral. Lineage: Bacteria; Pseudomonadati; Pseudomonadota; Alphaproteobacteria.
GCCGGGAUGGCGGAACUGGCAGACGCAGCGGACUUAAAAUCCGCAGCCCUUAAAAGGGGCGUGGGGGUUCGAGUCCCCCUCUCGGCACCA